UACGAGGGGGGCGAGCGUUGUUCGGAAUUAUUGGGCGUAAAGGGUGCGUAGGCGGUUCCGCAAGUCCUGUGUGAAAUCUAUGGGCUCAACCCAUAGUCUGCAUUGGAAACUGUCGGGCUUGAGUAUGGGAGAGGUGAGUGGAAUUUCCGGUGUAGCGGUGAAAUGCGUAGAUAUCAGGAGGAACACCGGUGGUGUAGACGGCUCUCUGGACCGUAACUGACGCUGAGGCACGAAAGCGUGGGUAGCAAACAGG
This 253-nucleotide ribosomal RNA is filed under the name uncultured bacterium. RNAcentral describes it as "partial 16S ribosomal RNA". It matches the Rfam family "Bacterial small subunit ribosomal RNA", at positions 524 to 776 of the family's 1533-position model. The record is from RNAcentral.